CUUUUACGGAGAGUUUGAUCCUGGCUCAGGAUGAACGCUGGCGGCGUGCUUAACACAUGCAAGUCGAACGGUGAAGCAGAGCUUGCUCUGUGGAUCAGUGGCGAACGGGUGAGUAACACGUGAGCAACCUGCCCCUGACUCUGGGAUAAGCGCUGGA
This 157-nucleotide ribosomal RNA is filed under the name Microbacterium sp. 77mftsu3.1. RNAcentral describes it as "partial 16S rRNA. Bacterial SSU". It matches the Rfam family "Bacterial small subunit ribosomal RNA", at positions 1 to 154 of the family's 1533-position model. Lineage: Bacteria; Bacillati; Actinomycetota; Actinomycetes; Micrococcales; Microbacteriaceae. The record is from RNAcentral.